AAACUUAAAUGAAUUGACGGGGACCCGCACAAGCGGUGGAUGAUGUGGUUUAAUUCGAUGCAACGCGAAAACCUUACCCACCUUUGACAUGUAUGGAAGAUCGCAGAGACGCGAUUGUGCUCGAAAGAGAGCCAUAACACAGGUGCUGCAUGGCUGUCGUCAGCUCGUGUCGUGAGAUGUUGGGUUAAGUCCCGCAACGAGCGCAACCCUUGUCAUUAGUUGCUACAUUUAGUUGGGCACUCUAAUGAGACUGCCGGUGACAAACCGGAGGAAGGUGGGGAUGACGUCAAGUCCUCAUGGCCCUUAUAGGUGGGGCUACACACGUCAUACAAUGGCUGGUACAAAGGGUUGCCAACCCGCGAGGGGGAGCCAAUCCCAUAAAGCCAGUCGUAGUCCGGAUCGCAGUCUGCAACUCGACUGCGUGAAGUCGGAAUCGCUAGUAAUCGUGGAUCAGAAUGUCACGGUGAAUACGUUCCCGGGUCUUGUACACACCGCCCGUCACACCAUGGGAGCGGGUUCUGCCAGAAGUAGGUAGCCUAACCGUAAGGAGGGCGCUUACCACGGCAGGGUUCGUGACUGGGGUGAAGUCGUAACAAGGUAGCCGUAUCGGAAGGUGCGGCUGGAUCACCUCCUUUAUG
RNAcentral lists this ribosomal RNA (638 nucleotides) under uncultured Variovorax sp. RNAcentral's name for it is "bacterial SSU rRNA". It matches the Rfam family "Bacterial small subunit ribosomal RNA", at positions 897 to 1533 of the family's 1533-position model. The record is from RNAcentral. Lineage: Bacteria; Pseudomonadati; Pseudomonadota; Betaproteobacteria; Burkholderiales; Comamonadaceae.